UAACUAUGGUGUCAUUUUCACAUCUAAGAAAAUUAACCAAAGUACUGACAUUAUCCUGCUGAAAGAAAAUCUUGUGUUGAUCAUUUUUGAUUUUGCCUUUAUGAGGGUAAAAUAACGACAGAUUGACAUGGACAAUU
Diceros bicornis minor is the source of this 137-nucleotide small nucleolar RNA. RefSeq annotates it as small nucleolar RNA SNORA69. The record is from RefSeq and is a predicted model, not a curated record. The transcript has a single exon. Lineage: Eukaryota; Metazoa; Chordata; Mammalia; Perissodactyla; Rhinocerotidae.